Molecule: ribosomal RNA, 460 nt
Filed under: uncultured bacterium
Lineage: Bacteria
Description: partial 16S ribosomal RNA
Rfam family: Bacterial small subunit ribosomal RNA
Source: RNAcentral
CUACGGGGUGCACCAGUGGGGAAUCUUGCGCAAUGGGGGAAACCCUGACGCAGCGACGCCGCGUGAACGAAGAAGGCCUUCGGGUUGUAAAGUUCUGUCGCGAGAGAAGAAUCUGGACGGGUAACGCCGUUCAGCGACGGUAUCUCGUGAGAAAGCAGUGGCUAACUCCGUGCCAGCAGCCGCGGUAAUACGAAAGGUGCAAGCGUUGUUCGGAAUCAUUGGGCGUAAAGCGCACGUAGGUGGGUAGAUAUGUCGAUUGUGAAAGCCCAGGGCUUAACCUUGGAAUUGCAGUCGAAACUGUCUGUCUUGAAUAUCUGGGAGGGUGGGGGAAUUCCGGGUGGAGAAGUGAAAUUCGUAGAGAUCAGGAGGAACAUCUGGGGCGAAGGCGCCUGCCUGGCAGAAUAUUGACGCUGAGGUGCGAAAGCGUGGGUAGCAAACAGGAUUAGAUACCCGGGUAGUC